AACGAACGCUGGCGGCAUGCCUAACACAUGCAAGUCGAACGAGACCUUCGGGUCUAGUGGCGCACGGGUGCGUAACGCGUGGGAACCUGCCCUUAGGUUCGGAAUAACUCCCCGAAAGGGGUGCUAAUACCGGAUAAUGUCUUCGGACCAAAGAUUUAUCGCCUUUGGAUGGGCCCGCGUUGGAUUAGCUAGUUGGUAGGGUAAAAGCCUACCAAGGCGACGAUCCAUAGCUGGUCUGAGAGGAUGAUCAGCCACACUGGGAAUGAGACACGGCCCAGACUCCUACGGGAGGCAGCAGUGGGGAAUAUUGGACAAUGGGCGAAAGUCUGAUAAAGCAAUGCCGGGUGAGUGAUGAAGGCCUUAGGGUUGUAAAGCUCUUUGACCCGGGAUGAUAAUGACAGUACCGGGAGAAUAAGCACCGGCUAACUCCGUG
Molecule: ribosomal RNA, 433 nt
Filed under: uncultured bacterium
Lineage: Bacteria
Description: partial 16S ribosomal RNA
Rfam family: Bacterial small subunit ribosomal RNA
Source: RNAcentral